Molecule: unclassified non-coding RNA, 221 nt
Filed under: Hevea brasiliensis (rubber tree)
Lineage: Eukaryota; Viridiplantae; Streptophyta; Magnoliopsida; Malpighiales; Euphorbiaceae
Source: RNAcentral
GGUGGCUCCGCCUCCGUGAUCUUGAAUUUCCGGUUAAAAAGAUUGAACAUCCUGUAGUUAUAGCUACCCAGUUCAUCUUUUGUGGUGUCUGGCAAUUUCUUUUGCUUCUUUUCUUUCCUGUAGCUCCCCAUUGAUUGGUUUCUCUUUUUCCAGCCCUCUGCUUGAGAGAGAGGGAGAAAGGGAGAGAUUGUGAGAGGGGAGAGAGAGGAAGGAGUCGUGAG